UGGCACUGAUACCGAUAGCUUGGCCAUUG
RNAcentral lists this non-coding RNA (29 nucleotides) under Rattus norvegicus (Norway rat). Lineage: Eukaryota; Metazoa; Chordata; Mammalia; Rodentia; Muridae. The record is from RNAcentral.